Molecule: non-coding RNA, 24 nt
Filed under: Cricetulus griseus (Chinese hamster)
Lineage: Eukaryota; Metazoa; Chordata; Mammalia; Rodentia; Cricetidae
Source: RNAcentral
GAGGAGGAGGAUGAUGACUGGGGG